This is a long non-coding RNA of Camponotus floridanus (Florida carpenter ant), 283 nucleotides long. RefSeq lists it as uncharacterized. NCBI's taxonomy places the organism in Eukaryota, Metazoa, Arthropoda, Insecta, Hymenoptera, Formicidae. The transcript has 3 exons. The record is from RefSeq and is a predicted model, not a curated record.
AUUAUUAACCGCAAAGAAUUGAUUAAGCAGCUAUCAUCUAUUGGAGGAAAUAAUAUCAAAGACAUCACUUUUAAUCUUUUACGAGUGUUAAUGUCAGAUAAGUUAGCUUCUACAUUUAGUUAUGUUGGAGGAAAAAAAAACGGAUAUUUUAUGAUUUACAACUCCGAAAAAUUAUAUUUAAUGUUGUACGACUUCGAUUUGCAGAAGCAACUGAAUAUUGUAUUUCCGAGCCAAUCAAAUCUUGGUUACGACAUGCGAAUGAGCGUUAUCUAAAGAAAAAUAA